Branchiostoma floridae (Florida lancelet) is the source of this 114-nucleotide non-coding RNA. Lineage: Eukaryota; Metazoa; Chordata; Leptocardii; Amphioxiformes; Branchiostomatidae. The record is from Rfam.
GUUGGAUACGGUGAUAUUGCUCCGAGGACACUCCCAGGAAAGCUCGUCGGGACACUGUGCGCUUUCGCUGGCAUGUUGGCCAUCGCCUUGCCCGUGCCGAUCAUAGUAUCAAAC